This 72-nucleotide transfer RNA is filed under the name Camelus bactrianus (Bactrian camel). It matches the Rfam family "tRNA". From Rfam's summary of the family: Transfer RNA (tRNA) molecules are approximately 80 nucleotides in length. Their secondary structure includes four short double-helical elements and three loops (D, anti-codon, and T loops). Further hydrogen bonds mediate the characteristic L-shaped molecular structure. tRNAs have two regions of fundamental functional importance: the anti-codon, which is responsible for specific mRNA codon recognition, and the 3' end, to which the tRNAs corresponding amino acid is attached (by aminoacyl-tRNA synthetases). tRNAs cope with the degeneracy of the genetic code in two manners: having more than one tRNA (with a specific anti-codon) for a particular amino acid; and 'wobble' base-pairing, i.e. permitting non-standard base-pairing at the 3rd anti-codon position. RNAcentral also lists the same sequence under 2 other names. The record is from Rfam by way of RNAcentral. Lineage: Eukaryota; Metazoa; Chordata; Mammalia; Artiodactyla; Camelidae.
GUGGGUACAGCUCAGUGGUAGAGUGUGUGCUUGACAUGCAUGAGGUCCCGGGUUCAAUCCCUAGGACCUCCA